UCGUAGAGGGGGGCAGAAUUCCAGGUGUAGCGGUGAAAUGCGUAGAGAUCUGGAGGAAUACCGGUGGCGAAGGCGGCCCCCUGGACGAAGACUGACGCACAGGUGCGAAAGAGUGGGGAGCAAACAGGAUUAGAUACCCUGGUAGUCCACGACGUAAACGAUGUCGACUUGGAGGUUGUGCCCUUGAGGCGUGGCUUCCAGCGCUCACGCGUUAAGUCGACCGCCUGGGGAGUACGGCCGCCAGGUUAAAA
Molecule: ribosomal RNA, 251 nt
Filed under: Escherichia coli
Lineage: Bacteria; Pseudomonadati; Pseudomonadota; Gammaproteobacteria; Enterobacterales; Enterobacteriaceae
Description: partial 16S ribosomal RNA
Rfam family: Bacterial small subunit ribosomal RNA
Source: RNAcentral